CCCUUAGAUGUUCUGGGCCGCACGCGUGCUACACUGAGUGGAUCAGCGGGCCAGGUUGCGCGAAAGUGUUUCCUAAUCUUUAAAUCCGCUCGUGAUGGGGAUUGACGGUUGCAAUUUUCCGCCAUGAACGAGGAAUACCUUGUAAGCGCGGGUCAUCAUCCCGCGCUGAAUACGUCCCUGCCCUUUGUACACACCGCCCGUCGCUCCUACCGAUUGAGUGGUCCGGUGAGGCUUUGGGAUCUGAGCGGAAAGAGCGUUUCGCUGUUUCUGCCCGGAAAACUCAGUCGAACCUUAUCAUUUAGAGGAAGGAGAAGUCGUAACA
This 322-nucleotide ribosomal RNA is filed under the name uncultured eukaryote. RNAcentral's name for it is "partial 18S ribosomal RNA". It matches the Rfam family "Eukaryotic small subunit ribosomal RNA", at positions 1470 to 1796 of the family's 1831-position model. The record is from RNAcentral.